Ochotona princeps (American pika) is the source of this 632-nucleotide non-coding RNA. Lineage: Eukaryota; Metazoa; Chordata; Mammalia; Lagomorpha; Ochotonidae. The record is from the annotation of a RefSeq genome assembly.
AUAAACGUAGAGAGAUUCUAGUAAAUUCUAGUAAUAGAACACUUUUCUGAUCAACCACCAUCUGUUCCAAAAUCCUGGAACAGAGGCGGAGGUGAGCUUCAGCCUCCCAAAUAAUGGUGAAAAAUAAACAAGUCCUGCUGGCUGUUAUGUGGCUUCAGCUAAGCUGUGUAAGCGGCAAAAACAAAGUGCAGCAGAGUCCUCAGUACCUGAGGGCACAGGAAGGAGAAUCUGUCACCAUCCACUGCAGCUACUCCACAGGAAUGACCACCUUACGAUGGUGGCAGCAGCUUCCCUGGGGCGGCAUCGUCUCCUUGUUCACGCUGAGCCUGGAGAUGAAGAGGAAAGGGAGGAUGAGUGCCACCAUAGACACCAAGGAAAGCCACAGCUCUCUGCACAUCACCGCCUCCCAGCCCGGAGACUCGGCUACCUAUCUCUGUGCCGUGGAGCACGAUGCUACCCACGCACCUGCAGCCAACACACAAACUCAAAAGGCCCCGUUUCUUUCUGUCUAUCCUUGAAGAGAAGAAGUGUUUUCAGUUUUUAAAAUAGAACAGUCUCCCCAUGCAGAUUCUCUAUAACAGCAACACCAAAGAAAAUGAGUUUCACCCUGGAAUUAAAACGCACAGACACUG